GACGAACGCUGGCGGCGUGCUUAACACAUGCAAGUCGAACGGAAAGGCCCUGCUUUUGUGGGGUGCUCGAGUGGCGAACGGGUGAGUAACACGUGAGUAACCUGCCCUUGACUUUGGGAUAACUUCAGGAAACUGGGGCUAAUACCGGAUAGGAGCUCCUGCUGCAUGGUGGGGGUUGGAAAGUUUCGGCGGUUGGGGAUGGACUCGCGGCUUAUCAGCUUGUUGGUGGGGUAGUGGCUUACCAAGGCUUUGACGGGUAGCCGGCCUGAGAGGGUGACCGGCCAGAUUGGGACUGAGAUACGGCCCAGACUCCUACGGGAGGCAGCAGUGGGGAAUAUUGCACAAUGGGCGGAAGCCUGAUGCAGCAACGCCGCGUGCGUGAUGACGGCCUUCGGGUUGUAAACCGCUUUCGCCUGUGACGAAGCGUGAGUGACGGUAAUGGGUAAAGAAGCACCGGCUAACUACGUG
Molecule: ribosomal RNA, 468 nt
Filed under: uncultured bacterium
Lineage: Bacteria
Description: partial 16S ribosomal RNA
Rfam family: Bacterial small subunit ribosomal RNA
Source: RNAcentral